AUUGAACGCUGGCGGCAUGCCUUACACAUGCAAGUCGAACGGUAACAGGUCUUCGGAUGCUGACGAGUGGCGAACGGGUGAGUAAUACAUCGGAACGUGCCCGAUCGUGGGGGGAUAACGCAGCGAAAGCUGUGCUAAUACCGCAUACGAUCUACGGAUGAAAGCGGGGGAUCGCAAGACCUCGCGCGGACGGAGCGGCCGAUGGCAGAUUAGGUAGUUGGUGGGAUAAAAGCUUACCAAGCCGACGAUCUGUAGCUGGUCUGAGAGGACGGACCAGCCACACUGGGACUGAGACACGGCCCAGACUCCUACGGGAGGCAGCAGUGGGGAAUUUUGGACAAUGGGCGAAAGCCUGAUCCAGCCAUGCCACGUGCAGGAUGAAGGCCUUCGGGUUGUAAACUGCUUUUGUACGGAACGAAAAGACUCUGGUUAAUACCUAGGGUCCAUGACGGUACCGUAAGAAUAAGCACCGGCUAACUACGUGCCAGCAGCCGCGGUAA
RNAcentral lists this ribosomal RNA (500 nucleotides) under uncultured bacterium. Its description in RNAcentral is "bacterial SSU rRNA". It matches the Rfam family "Bacterial small subunit ribosomal RNA", at positions 30 to 523 of the family's 1533-position model. The record is from RNAcentral.